Manis pentadactyla (Chinese pangolin) is the source of this 2163-nucleotide long non-coding RNA. RefSeq lists it as uncharacterized. The transcript has 2 exons. The record is from RefSeq and is a predicted model, not a curated record. Lineage: Eukaryota; Metazoa; Chordata; Mammalia; Pholidota; Manidae.
UGGCGUAGAGAUGGGGAAGUUAUCUUUGGAAGGAUGGGCAAGGAGAGCCUCUCUAAGGUGAUGGCAUGUGAGCAGAGACCUGAAUGAUUAUAAAGAAGCCAUGUGGAGGGAGUGUUUCAGGAAGAAUAAACAGCACAUGGAAAGGCUCGGACACAAAAACAAGUAUGACCUAUUUAAAGAAUAGUAAGGAGGGGAGGGAGGCAGCUGGUGCUUAGAGAGAGGAAAGCAGAGGGAGAUGAACUGAGGGCAGGCAGGGGCCAGACUACACGCUCCGUGGUUCAUCACAUAAUGAUAGAAGGUAACAGUGUUCCUCUGUAUCGGAGCCUGUCUACAGCUCUGUGGUGACUUCAUUCACCAAAAUGCUGUUACUCAAGAUUCACCUGUUAUCUGGGUUGUCAGGGAGAUGACCGCAGGAAGUCCAGAGGACAAAGCCUGGAUGCCAACGCUGUAGUUGGUCCCUGCGCGCAGGUCCAAGCACAUCUCUGGAGCCCGGCUGCUGGUAGUGAUAUUAAAGGUCAUUUCCUGGACAAAUUCCUUCUGAUACCAUCGCUGGCCCUGAACGUGGAACUAAAACAUAGAAAAGUUCACAAGGUGAAUCGCUGGCUUGAAAGGCUCUCAACACCUGGAUAAUGACCCCUUCUCAUGAGCUCUCUUGCCCUCGACUCUAAAGUUCCUUCAAAAAGUGAAAUACAACAGUAAGCAAAUAUUACAGUUGAGAUACCAUAAAUAGUGUAGUUACAAGAGUAUCAGUAUAAUAAAUAUAUUUUAAAGUCAAAAUGCACAGAAGGCCACAGCCCUGAUAAUGACAAGCCUCCCUUUGUUUUCGCACAUACAGUGCAUGUGACCAACGGGAAUGUCUGCUGGCAAGACUGCGGGGCCAAGGCCAAAGGGCAUGGGCCUAGAAAGAAAAUUAAGAAUCUGAACUCAGCCUUCUCCAAAGCAGGACUGAAUUAGGAUACUCCUAGUUGGUCUGGUAAAACCUGAGAAGGGUUUUUCUCUUCUGCCUGCCCCCUUCUGACAUUCCCUGCACUUUUCUGGAACAUCCCAGCCCUUGGGCCAAUAGACAACACUCUUCUUCCCACUUAAUUUAGUAGCAGCUUAUCUCAUGAUCUUUACCUUUCUUACAACUACACUAGCUUCCAGAGUUCCCUUUGACUCUCUAGGCAACACAUUCAGACCCUGGUCAGAGACACUGGUGUGGAGAGACCCACACGUGCAAAAGCCAUUGGAUUCCUUCCACAGAUCCUGCCUGAACAUCGCCUCUGCAUCGGGUUGUGUGCACAAAGAAACCCCCGUGGCUUUCGCAUCAGUCCCCAAGGUCUGUCUUCAAAAAUGCAUCAUGACUUCCCAUGCUCUUGCUUCUCAUGCAAUUGUCACUAUAAAUCUUCCUUUGAUAACAGCAGCUAUAUAAGUAGAUUUUUAGGUUUGUUGGUAUUUUUUUAAACCUCUCACACAAAACACAUAUAGAGUAACUUGCAGUAACUUACUAAAUACAUCUCCUCUGUGUCAGCUGUCUUCAUGCUUCUCCAUCUCAAGCAGGUUUCAUUAAAUAUUGAAAUGUUACCAAUGGUCUGUUUUACUGUAGAGGGAAAAGAAUGAGAAAUCAACAUAUUCCAUACAAAAAUACUUGCUUUCAAUUGAACCAUUUUCCAAGGUCAAGCUUUUACAUAGGAAGAUUUCAGCAGUACUGUAAUUUAGAGAUGAGUGGUUGCAGCCCAAGAAAUGCCACUUUUCUAUUUAUGUGAACUCAGUCCUGAUGAAAGAUUUAAGAUCAAAAGAGGACCCUCCUAAAAAUUGUCUGUCUAGCACUGUAAACUUCCUUGGUUUACUAAGCGAAAACUAAAACUCCUUGUCCUAGCCACAGACAACCUCAUUUGUACAAGUAAGCAUCCAUUUGAAAUUCUGAGUUGAGAGUAACACAACGUCCACAGAGAACUGAGAACGGCUCCUUGAGAAACAGAAAAAGUCUCUCUCCAGCAGAUGAGCCUCUCACGGGUCCCUCUUGGUCUGGGCUUCCUCAUCUCUUCUGGCCAAAGAAGCAUUUGUUAGUCUCCACUCAAGUUCACGGUAUUCAAUCCAGAAGGCAGUUCAGAUCUGGUACGGUGCAAUACAGAGGUACAUUCCUCAAGCUUUUUAAAAUAAAGACUAGUUAUUCAAAACUGA